CUUGUAGGCGGUUCGGUUAGUCGGGUGUGAAACCUCUGGGCUCAACUCAGAGACGCCACCCGAUACUGCUGUGACUAGAGUGCGGUAGGGGAGCGGGGAAUUCCUGGUGUAGCGGUGAAAUGCGCAGAUAUCAGGAGGAACACCAGUGGCGAAGGCGCCACUCUGGGCCGUAACUGACGCUGAGGAGCGAAAGCGUGGUAGCAAACA
Molecule: ribosomal RNA, 207 nt
Filed under: uncultured bacterium
Lineage: Bacteria
Description: partial 16S ribosomal RNA
Rfam family: Bacterial small subunit ribosomal RNA
Source: RNAcentral